This 434-nucleotide ribosomal RNA is filed under the name uncultured bacterium. RNAcentral's name for it is "partial 16S ribosomal RNA". It matches the Rfam family "Bacterial small subunit ribosomal RNA", at positions 29 to 507 of the family's 1533-position model. The record is from RNAcentral.
AGCGAACGCUGGCGGCAGGCCUAACACAUGCAAGUCGAACGAACCUUUCGGGGUUAGUGGCGGACGGGUGAGUAACACGUGGGAACGUGCCUUUAGGUUCGGAAUAACUCAGGGAAACUUGUGCUAAUACCGAAUGUGCCCUUCGGGGGAAAGAUUUAUCGCCUUUAGAGCGGCCCGCGUCUGAUUAGCUAGUUGGUUGAGGUAAUGGCUCACCAAGGCGACGAUCAGUAGCUGGUCUGAGAGGAUGAUCAGCCACAUUGGGACUGAGACACGGCCCAAACUCCUACGGGAGGCAGCAGUGGGGAAUCGUGCGAAAUGGGCGAAAGCAUGACGCAGCCAUGCCGCGUGAAUGAUGAAGGUCUUAGGAUUGUAAAAUUCUUUCACCGGGGACGAUAAUGACGGUACCCGGAGAAGAAGCCCCGGCUAACUUCGUG